Molecule: small nucleolar RNA, 109 nt
Filed under: Varanus komodoensis (Komodo dragon)
Lineage: Eukaryota; Metazoa; Chordata; Lepidosauria; Squamata; Varanidae
Description: Small nucleolar RNA SNORD89 (ENSVKKG00000006628.1)
Rfam family: Small nucleolar RNA SNORD89
About the family: snoRNA HBII-289 belongs to the family of C/D snoRNAs. It is the human orthologue of the mouse MBII-289 and has no identified RNA target.
Source: Rfam by way of RNAcentral
GCUGAGGAGUGAUGACAAUGAAAGGCCGAAUUGCAGUGCCUGUUAACAGUUUUCUCUCUAAAGGCACGAUGACAAAACUCCUGAAGCGACUCUUUCUUCUGACCUCAGC